Molecule: long non-coding RNA, 1321 nt
Organism: Gadus macrocephalus (Pacific cod)
Lineage: Eukaryota; Metazoa; Chordata; Actinopteri; Gadiformes; Gadidae
Exons: 2
Source: RefSeq, a predicted model, not a curated record
CCCUCGGACCGCUUACCCACUGAAGAAGAGCGAAGGGGGGUCUAGUUCGGAGCGGGACCUCGUGCAGGGUCCUGUUUGUUGACGUGCAGGCGGUCUUCAAUGGAGUCCACGCGCAGAGCUCGGGUCCCGUCUCCGUGGUUACAUACAUCAGCAGGGUCUCCGGCUCGUGCGUCUCAGGGGGGGGGCAGAGAGGAGCACAUGGGCGGGGGAGAGACCUGGACCCCGACACGAACGGGAGGCGGAGGAAGCCUCCAGGCCUGGCGCCGUUCUAGCAGGACGGGCCAGAGGCCGGCGCUGUCUCUUCGUUCGGGAUUACCGGCGUCUCUGGGGGGCCAAGUCUAUACGGAUCAAAGGCAAACAUCCAGCCAGCGGCAGAGACCAGGGACCAGGGUUAGUGAGGAGGGGGUAGGACGGCCCUCGGGGUCUUGGGCCGGUCAAGGACAUAUGUUGGUCAUUAACUUGUCAUGGUAUUUAGCAGAGACUUUCAUCCCUAUUGAGAUAUAGCUUGAGGCCCUUUGGGAGCAUAAAGAGGUUAGUUUAAAAGCUCAUGCUAACAUACAGCUUGAAUAUGGACAUUGGAGUUGAAGUGUGUAGUCUGGUGGUGAGUAUGUGGUGAUCUGUAGGGAUAAGCAUUGUGUGGUUCUCCUUAGAAGGGACAGGGACAAGCAGGUACACUAGAUAUUACAUCUGUUGGGAUCUCGGCUGAGCAGCAGUAAGAGUCUGGGAGGAUUACGUUGCUUCAUUCUUCUCACGUCACUGAUCCUGUCAGGAACCGAGUAUUACGUGAUAAGAAGAUAUUAAAUAGCAUGCAGACAUAAUUUGUUUUCUCCCAUGACCACUUUCCCCCAAUUUUAUAUUGCAAAUACGUAACAUGCCACAAAAGACUGAAGAAAAGGUAUUCAUGUUUAUAUUAGCUUUAUUAAAUAAUGUGACAGCCUCCAUAAUCCAAUGUUGUUUUACAAAUGAACCAUAACGCUGUGAUUUGCUACAUGGAUUGAACUGGGUUGCGUCAUAUAGAGAAGUGGUGAUAUAAUUGAGAACCUAUUUUUAUCCAUCUUUAAAAUAGUUUCACAAGCCAAGAUGUUAUCAGUGAUUUACAUUGCAUGUUUUUGUCCACUUGUUUGGGGUUUUGGCUUUGAGACCCAUGCCUCACAGGUACAAAGCCUGUGUGAUAUAUUUAUGUUGGACACAUUAUUCUGUUGGCUAAUACCUUUAACUUAAUGACACAUUAUAUUGUAAAACCAAUUCUUCCUACAGCCACACAACAUGUACAAAAGAGUUUUUCCCACAGCAAAAUAUAGCAAAGCUGAAUGUCUCUUCA